This is a long non-coding RNA of Lolium perenne, 2556 nucleotides long. RefSeq lists it as uncharacterized. Lineage: Eukaryota; Viridiplantae; Streptophyta; Magnoliopsida; Poales; Poaceae. The record is from RefSeq and is a predicted model, not a curated record.
AUAAUGCUUUCAAAUGUGAUCUUGGAUCUUUCCUUCAUCUCUUGGUCCUUCACGCUCCAAUUCUUUUUCUUCUCUUUGUUUUUCCUUGCAUUUUGCAUAAUUCCAGAAAAUAGCAAAAGAGGCAGUAGCCUAGCAUCGAGCCGAUCUGGCAUUUCUUUCUUUCAGAAGCAAGCCCAGACCCUCCUUCCGGCCACUUGGCCAGCAUUUCUGAGCAGCCCACUCCCGUUUUCCUUUGAGGCCAACAACAGCACCGUGGCCUUUUUAGCUUUUGGCUGGCAAGGAGACGCCCUCUUCCUUCUUCCUUUCGUACGGCAACAAUCUCAGCAUGUCCACGUCGCAUGUUGGUCGAUGGGACGGUCGUCGUUCUUUCUCCCCCCGUAUAAAAUCCCCAGGUGUCUAGUGCGGCAACCCUAGCCCACCUACUUUUUCCUCUCCGCCGCCACUCUCUUUUUUCCUUCCCGUCCUCAUAAUCGCCGCCAAGCUGUUCGAGCUCCUCCUCGAUCUCCUCUGCCUCCACCCUGGUGCUCGACGGCGUCUUUCCGGUGUUCGCGACCAUGCAGCAUCAGCGCCUGCCGCCUCCGCCUCGUUCCCGUGCUUAGCCGCAUCGCCUCCAUCUACCUCGCCGUGUCGCUGCUUCCUCUGCGCGCGCAGCAGCUUGUCCAUGUCCGCCUCCACCUCACAGACUAGCGCGGCUCCCGGCACCAUCACGAACUCCAACGUGCUCCUGACCAGCUCCUCCGGCUGUUCGUCCGCGUGUGCGCCGCCAGGCCUCGCGACCGUCCGGCAGACGCUCGUCCCGGGCAUCGCUGCGCUCGCCCUCGCCGGCGCGUCUCCGUCGUCGCCUCAAGUUCGUCAUCUGUGUCUUUCCUUUACGUUGCCCAGGUCAAGGCGUGGCUUUUCCUGAUGAAAAGAGGCACCGUCUACUCCUUUGACAAGACCACGUACACAGUGUAUUUGUUGGGUCUGCGUCGUUUGAUCGUCGCGGCCGGACGGACACCUGGCAUAGAUCUUCAUCUUGGUCCGGCUCAAGAAGUGUCGCGACUGCUGCUGAUCAAAUCCCUGCAGUAACCAUCCAGUUCUCUUCCUGUCUGACAGCUGUGUCCCAAACGCUGUUUUCCUGUGCUAACUUCCGUCCCGUGAGAAAAGGAUCAACAUCCAGCAUUCAGUCAGCAAUCCCUGGCUCGGCCAGUCAAUGCCCUGGGAUAGCUUCUCAUGCGCAUUUGCUUCUUCUCGGAUAGGAUCGCGAAGUGGUGUUGUGAGAUACGGCAAGUCCUCCGGAUGUCCCUCGGCAAGCUUUAACAGGCAAGCAUUUUCCCCUAUACUUCUGCCCCUGCAGAAGUCGCUCACCUAUUUUAUUUUGCCUUCUCCCUCAUGCUAUCCUUGAGUUGCGUUCUUGUCACGUGUCCCUUCCACUUGUUACCUCAAGCCGCCUAUAUUGCCUCCACCAACCACCUACAGCUAUUGUUUGGUUAUCGGGUCUGCCUUGCGAGUCGUAGUGCAUGCUAGUGCUUUUAUAUCGUGUUACCGUUACUGCUAUCUUAUCGGGUUAUCUGUUGGGGAAUCAUGACACAUGGUUUAUGGAUAUAUCUGUUGAGGGUAUCAUGGUUACUUCUUAAUAGUUGUUAGCGGAGGCAUCGGUGGGUCAGCUGAUCGUUUUGUGACGGCUCACUUGUGUUUCUUUAAAACCUAGGACCCCGAGUUCUUGUUAUCUGUUCCGAGACUGAGCGCUCUAACCACACGUGGGUAUGCUUCUGGAUCUCCCCUCGACCACUGCCGGAAUCUACAGCUUUGUCCAGUGGCCACAACUAGUUUGCAAUGUUUUACCAUUUGUUGUUUGCGUGCAUGCUAGCUUGUUACUUAUUUAAUUUGGGAAGCCCCUGGGUGCCUUGUAUCCCUUGUUUCUGGUAUGCACGUAUAGGUCGUGGAGCCUCUGCGAAGUGGUUUAUCGCCCCAGUGUGUGUUUAAACCACCUAGCACGUUGACACACAUAGCUAAGUCCGCUUCGGAGAUACGGCCGGACUUCGAUACGGGUUCAACUUGGUUAGGUGGCUUCCUGGACAUUGUUGUCCUGAAGGAGAGUGCGAGUCGUGAUUUCCACCUGUCGCAAGUGGUUUGAUCGUGCGUGUGGGCACAUUUGGGCACCCCUGCAGGGUUAAAUCUUAUCGAUAAGCCGUGUCCGCGGUUAUGGACGACUUGGAGCUGUAUGACUCGACCAUAGACAACUUACACCCGUUGUUUCAAUACUAAUAACUUGCGUAGUAAGUUAGCACAACUUCAAUAAAACCUGGGUAAAACUUGUCAACUGUGUGAGUGCCCUUGUAAGUACUUCCUUGCGAGGGGGGAACGCAUUGGCUGUGUUAUGUUUGCAGAGUAUAGAAUUGUUAGUUACGCUCUCUCACCUUCUCUGAUAGACGACUGUUGUAGAGUGUCUCUAUAGGUUUUUAGUGCUUGCGCGCUGCCGCUUAACCCCACCAUAUUGCCUAUGACGUUCCUCUUGCGUCCUCUAAGUCCCCUGCGUGCCUCAAGUACAAAGGACGAUCGGUUGACGAAUGCUUA